Myxocyprinus asiaticus (Chinese sucker) is the source of this 3308-nucleotide long non-coding RNA. RefSeq lists it as uncharacterized. The transcript is spliced from 2 exons. The record is from RefSeq and is a predicted model, not a curated record. Lineage: Eukaryota; Metazoa; Chordata; Actinopteri; Cypriniformes; Catostomidae.
GCUUUUCUUACGAAAGCAAGCCACGACCGCAACGUUGCCAUGGUCAUGUUCUCGCAAUGAGAACAUGAACCAUCCACAAACGUUGCCUCCGUGUGGGUCGCGCCCAGACACGAAAGACAGCGAUCAUGGCCAUCUGAAGUUGAGAGAUAACGACCGCAACCAGGAAUAACACACAAUCGGAAAGGCAUCUUUAAAAAGAAGCGUCUUUAAAAAGACGUUCCGUGUGUGCCGCUCUUUUAGAGAAAUAUACUCUUUUAGAGGAAAAGCUCUUUCAGAAAAUAAAAAAAAGGUCAGAGGGAGUGGCAUGCAAAUACCACUUGCCAAUUUUCAUUGGCCUUUUAUCAAAGACCAGAGGUGUCUCGGGCUCCCAAUAGUGACCCCUAGUGUCACUACAUCGACACAACGUCGAGUGAGUGACAGAUAGGGAAAGUCUAUUAAUCAAACAACAAUAACAAGGAAACGAGAAACCCCUCACUACUUUUGGCUGAAUAACUUGAGUAGCUUUAAAAGUAUUAAUGUAAUAGAAUAAAACAGUGACAUUUUUAAAAAUAAUAUUUUUAAAAAAUAUUGUUCGUUUUUUAAUAAUACUGACCCCUGAUGUAGAGAGUGUGUUAAUUGGUAUAAUAAAUUACCAGGAAAGUAGAGAUGAUAAAAUAAUUUAUAAUUAUGCUUAGCCUUUAUAAAGAUAGAAAAGUAUAAACAUUACAUUAAAGAGCAAUACUUCAGCAGAACAUUCCACCAUUCACAAACUUCAGAAAAUUGUGCAUCAUGCAUUAGAAUGAGAACACAACUAUUUAUUGGCUUAAAAGGUACAAGAACUAAAUCAAUGUUGAACAUUGUAUCUCAGAAGGAGGACAAAGUGGCCCCCCAUGUGCUACUUAAAGAAAUAAUGAAAUGAAAAUGAAAAUUCUCUUAUCAUUUACUCAACCUCAUGCCAUCUGUCUAUGACUUUCUUUCUUCAGAACACAAAUUAAAAUGUUUAGAGGAAUAUUUCAGCUCUGUAGGUCCAUUCAAUGUAAGUGCAGGGGUGCCAAAAGUUUGACGCUCCACAAAGCACAUAAAAGCAUCAUAAAAGUAAUACAUACAACUCCAGUGGUUUAAUCCAUGACUUCAGAAUUGAUAUGACAUGUGUGGGUGAGAAACAGAUCAAUAUUUAAUUCCAUUUUUGCUAGAAAUUCUUCUCUCUGCCCAGUAGGUGGCGAUAUGCAUGAAGAAUGUGAAUCACCAAAAACACAAGAAGAAAGUGAAAGUUAAAGUGGAGAUUGACUGAGCAGGGAGGAGAAUUAAUAGUAAAAAAGGAAUUAAAUAUUGAUCUGUUUCUCACCACAUCUAUCAUAUUGCCUCUGAAGACAUGGAUUAAACCACUGGAGGCACAUGGAUUAGACUACUUUUAUGCUGACUUGUAUGAUUUGUGGAGCUUCAAUAGCACCGAUUCAUUUUCAUUGUAUGGACCAAAAGAGCUGAGAUAUUCUUCUAAAAAUCUUAAUUUAUGUUCUGCAGAAGAAAGAAAGUCAUACACAUCCAGGAUAGCAUGAGGGUGAGUAAAUGUUGAGAGAAUUUUAAUUUUUGGGUGAAUUAUUCCUUUUUAAGCAUGAUGUAGCCCCUGUACCAAACAACUGUUCCCAUGCCUGCUCUACCUCCUCUAUUGUGCAGGAUAUGGCGUGCCAAGUGAUCCUGCUUAUUUAGCAAUUUAUUUAUUUUUUGCAUUCUUUGCAUUGUUUGAACAUGUUUUAUGCACAACAAUAACACUGUCGGCAUUAAGGGAAAUUUAGACCCUACACAUAAACUGAUUUUAAUAUAAUUGUUUCAUACAUUACGAUUUAAAAUGGUGAUCAGUGUAUUGAAAAUAACUUUUUAAUCUUUUCAUUUCUGUUAUCAUGUCUCCCUUUUAUUUUUUGGAAUCAGAGUCAUGUAGUGUUUAUCAUAGAUAAGUGAUGUAUUUUAAAAGUUGGCAUACAUUGUUCGUUAUAAUGGGGCAUAGGUUUUGCAACUCGGUACUCAAUACUCACUACUCAUGAGUACUUUUAAAUGAGCUACACUUUUACUCUUGAGUAGUUUUUAGGACAGCUAAAGUAGUAACAGUACUUCUACUUGAGUAUGAUUUUUCAGUGCUCAAUUAUUACGUUUUAUCGAGGACAUCUCUCUUUUUUCCGAUAAACAUCUAGAUCAUUUUAUUGCCCAUCCCUAUUGAUAACAUUGCAUUAAUCUCUCACAGCAGCCCAAUAAUCUCAGUGAUAGAUAGUUAAAUUACAGGCUACGUUAUAGACACACAGAAUCUAGUAAGCAGAAAUAUGAAAUUUACCUCAAUAUGUUACCUCAAUAUGUUUCUACAAAUUAGAGGCAGGAUUAAUGCUGAUAUCUGGCUUGAGCAAGUUAAACUCACAUGACACAUUCAAACAAUUGGCCUUUUUCAUUGCAAAAAUCCCUUUCAGGUGCAGCUGUGAUGUUCAGCUGUAAACUGUGCUUGAGGCAUUCUCCACAGUUGGCAACACAUUUGACGGGAGUCACGAGACAAGGUUACCUCUUACCAGAGUUUAUUGGAGGGGACGUACUGUUCAAAAUGGUGGAGGAGAUUGCGGUUUCUAUAGUGAAUGUCUCUUGCACACCGGCUACCGCGAAAUAGGGAGGAAUACCCCGGCUUGGAUGGCUAUUUUUCCACUGAGAAAGCUGCUCUUCAGGAAGUUGACAGCAUCUCUGUUUGGGAGUGGCAACAGAGAGGUGAAAAAUGCAAAGACCGAACUAAAUCCAAAGCAACAAAAUUAUGAUCUUCACCAGCUAUACCAGCAAGCUUUUUCCCAUCCAUGCCAAUGACACAAGCUACUGUGAAUGACACAACACUGUUUUAAACCGUAAAUGUCCACCAUGUUGAAAAUAUUGCACAAAGGAAACAAGCUGUGGUCUGAUUUCACACUAUGCUGCUGUGCAGUCUAUAGAUCUGCUAAUUCAUUUCUCUCUUUAUUUUUUUUAAAAAUUUGAAUGUCCUGGUUUAUGUAUAAUGUUUAAUGCAUUUUAUUUAAGACUUUUAAUUUAAAUCUUUAAUCCUGUUAAGUAAUUUGUUAUUUAUUUGUUUAAAUUUAACUGAGAGUAAUGUUUAUUUUCUAAUAUGUUUAUAUUAUAUUGUGACGAGGAGGAGGGUGGGGCCGGGACAUGACUGUGCAUGCCUAGCCCCCAAUUGGGCCAAUCAGCCGAGGAAAGGAAUAAAUGCAGCGGAACGCGGCAGUUCGGAGGAGAGAGCUACAGGCAGCUGCCCUGUAUGCAUUUAUGUUUGUGUGUUUUUGUGUUUAUUAAAACAUUACUUUGAUGCUUCA